This 206-nucleotide ribosomal RNA is filed under the name uncultured bacterium. RNAcentral describes it as "partial 16S ribosomal RNA". It matches the Rfam family "Bacterial small subunit ribosomal RNA", at positions 568 to 774 of the family's 1533-position model. The record is from RNAcentral.
UCCGUAGGCGGCUUUUCAAGUUAAAAGUAAAAUCAAAAAGCUUAACUUUUUGAGGCUUUUAAUACGUUAGGGCUUGGAGUUUGAAAGGAGAUAGUAGAAUUUCAUAUGGAGGGAUGAAAUCCGUAGAAUUAUGAAGGAAUACUGAUGGCGAAGGCGACUAUCUAUUUCAAUCUGACGCUGAGGGACGAAAGCAUGGGGAGCAAACA